CCUACGGGCGGCAGCAGUGGGGAAUAUUGCACAAUGGGCGCAAGCCUGAUGCAGCCAUGCCGCGUGUGUGAAGAAGGCCUUCGGGUUGUAAAGCACUUUCAGCGGGGAGGAAGGCGGUGAGGUUAAUAACCUCAUCGAUUGACGUUACCCGCAGAAGAAGCACCGGCUAACUCCGUGCCAGCAGCCGCGGUAAUACAGAGGGUGCAAGCGUUAAUCGGAAUUACUGGGCGUAAAGCGCACGCAGGCGGUCUGUCAAGUCGGAUGUGAAAUCCCCGGGCUCAACCUGGGAACUGCAUUCGAAACUGGCAGGCUAGAGUCUUGUAGAGGGGGGUAGAAUUCCAGGUGUAGCGGUGAAAUGCGUAGAGAUCUGGAGGAAUACCGGUGGCGAAGGCGGCCCCCUGGACAAAGACUGACGCUCAGGUGCGAAAGCGUGGGGAGCAAACAGGAUUAGAUACCCUAGUAGUC
This 465-nucleotide ribosomal RNA is filed under the name uncultured Klebsiella sp. RNAcentral's name for it is "bacterial SSU rRNA". It matches the Rfam family "Bacterial small subunit ribosomal RNA", at positions 338 to 795 of the family's 1533-position model. The record is from RNAcentral. Lineage: Bacteria; Pseudomonadati; Pseudomonadota; Gammaproteobacteria; Enterobacterales; Enterobacteriaceae.